This 468-nucleotide ribosomal RNA is filed under the name uncultured bacterium. RNAcentral describes it as "partial 16S ribosomal RNA". It matches the Rfam family "Bacterial small subunit ribosomal RNA", at positions 28 to 507 of the family's 1533-position model. The record is from RNAcentral.
GACGAACGCUGGCGGCGUGCUUAACACAUGCAAGUCGAACGGAAAGGCCCUGCUUUUGUGGGGUGCUCGAGUGGCGAACGGGUGAGUAACACGUGAGUAACCUGCCCUUGACUUUGGGAUAACUUCAGGAAACUGGGGCUAAUACCGGAGAGGAGCUCCUGCUGCAUGGUGGGGGUUGGAAAGUGUCGGCGGUUGGGGAUGGACUCGCGGCUUAUCAGCUGGUUGGUGGGGUAGUGGCUUACCAAGGCUUUGACGGGUAGCCGGCCUGAGAGGGUGAACGGCGACAUUGGGCCUGAGAUACGGCGCAGACUGCUACGGGAGGCAGCAGUGGGGAAUAUUGCAGAAUGGGCGGAAGCCUGAUGCAGCAACGCCGCGUGCGGGAUGACGGCCUUCGGGUUGUAAACCGCUUUCGCCUGUGACGAAGCGUUAGUGACGGUAAUGGGUCAAGAAGCACCGGCUAACUACGUG